RNAcentral lists this ribosomal RNA (497 nucleotides) under uncultured bacterium. Its description in RNAcentral is "partial 16S ribosomal RNA". It matches the Rfam family "Bacterial small subunit ribosomal RNA", at positions 28 to 507 of the family's 1533-position model. The record is from RNAcentral.
GAUGAACGCUGGCGGCAUGCCUAAUACAUGCAAGUCGAGCGAACAGACGAGGAGCUUGCUCCUCUGACGUUAGCGGCGGACGGGUGAGUAACACGUGGAUAACCUACCUAUAAGACUGGGAUAACUUCGGGAAACCGGAGCUAAUACCGGAUAAUAUAUUGAACCGCAUGGUUCAAUAGUGAAAGACGGUUUUGCUGUCACUUAUAGAUGGAUCCGCGCCGCAUUAGCUAGUUGGUAAGGUAACAGCUUACCAAGGCAACGAUGCGUAGCCGACCUGAGAGGGUGAUCGGCCACACUGGAACUGAGACACGGUCCAGACUCCUACGGGAGGCAGCAGUAGGGAAUCUUCCGCAAUGGGCGAAAGCCUGACGGAGCAACGCCGCGUGAGUGAUGAAGGUCUUCGGAUCGUAAAACUCUGUUAUUAGGGAAGAACAAAUGUGUAAGUAACUAUGCACGUCUUGACGGUACCUAAUCAGAAAGCCACGGCUAACUACGUG